GUAGGUAGCUUAACCUUCGGGAGGGCGCUUACCACUUUGUGAUUCAUGACUGGGGUGAAGUCGUAACAAGGUAACCGUAGGGGAACCUGCGGUUGGAUCACCUCCUUACCUGAAGAUAC
Molecule: ribosomal RNA, 119 nt
Filed under: bacteria symbiont BFo1 of Frankliniella occidentalis
Lineage: Bacteria; Pseudomonadati; Pseudomonadota; Gammaproteobacteria; Enterobacterales; Erwiniaceae
Description: partial 16S ribosomal RNA
Rfam family: Bacterial small subunit ribosomal RNA
Source: RNAcentral